This 281-nucleotide ribosomal RNA is filed under the name Xanthomonas vasicola pv. vasculorum NCPPB 1326. Its description in RNAcentral is "partial 16S ribosomal RNA". It matches the Rfam family "Bacterial small subunit ribosomal RNA", at positions 1254 to 1533 of the family's 1533-position model. Lineage: Bacteria; Pseudomonadati; Pseudomonadota; Gammaproteobacteria; Lysobacterales; Lysobacteraceae. The record is from RNAcentral.
CCCGCGAGGGCAAGCCAAUCCCAGAAACCCUAUCUCAGUCCGGAUUGGAGUCUGCAACUCGACUCCAUGAAGUCGGAAUCGCUAGUAAUCGCAGAUCAGCAUUGCUGCGGUGAAUACGUUCCCGGGCCUUGUACACACCGCCCGUCACACCAUGGGAGUUUGUUGCACCAGAAGCAGGUAGCUUAACCUUCGGGAGGGCGCUUGCCACGGUGUGGCCGAUGACUGGGGUGAAGUCGUAACAAGGUAGCCGUAUCGGAAGGUGCGGCUGGAUCACCUCCUUU